This 253-nucleotide ribosomal RNA is filed under the name uncultured bacterium. RNAcentral describes it as "partial 16S ribosomal RNA". It matches the Rfam family "Bacterial small subunit ribosomal RNA", at positions 524 to 776 of the family's 1533-position model. The record is from RNAcentral.
GACGAAGGAUGCAAGCGUUAUCCGGAUUCAUUGGGUUUAAAGGGAGCGUAGGUGGUCUGCUAAGUCAGUGGUGAAAGCCGGUCGCUUAACGAUCGAAUUGCCAUUGAUACUGGCGGACUUGAGUGCAGAUGCCGUUGGCGGAAUAUGACAUGUAGUGGUGAAAUACAUAGAGAUGUCAUAGAACACCGAUUGCGAAGGCAGCUAACGAAACUGUAACUGACACUGAGGCUCGAAAGUGUGGGGAUCAAACAGG